This 858-nucleotide long non-coding RNA is filed under the name Lonchura striata (white-rumped munia). RNAcentral describes it as "domestica (Bengalese finch) lncRNA (ENSLSDG00000000249.1)". Lineage: Eukaryota; Metazoa; Chordata; Aves; Passeriformes; Estrildidae. The record is from RNAcentral.
GGGGACAGAGUGGGGUGGGCACGGGGGACAGCUGGGGGGACAAUGGGCAGGGUGGUGGGGACAGCGUGGGGACAACCGGACGGUGGCACCCGGACACGGGGCAACAACCGGGGGCCACCGUCCCCACGGCAACUGCACGCGGCCUUGGGGACAGGGCGGUGCCACCCCCGCGGGAGCUGGCAGCGUCCCCGGGGACGUGGGGACACCAAGGCCACGGUGCCACCACCCCCCCGGGCCCCGCUGGCGGUGCCAAGAGCCGCACAAAGGUCCCUUUGUCACCCUCUGCCACCCUUUGUCACCGCCCGCCGUGGGAACGGCCCGGGAGGGUGGCAGCGCGCCCGGCUGUCCCCGAGGCGGUGGCAGGGUGGUGGCAGGGGGGUGGCACGGUGGUGGCAUGGUGGUGGCAGGGUGACAGAGUGGUGGCAGGGUGGUGGCAGGGUGGUGACAGGGUGACAGAGUGGUGGCAUGGUGGUGACAGGGUGGCAGGGUGGUGGCAGGGUGGUGGCCGAUGUCACCGUACCACGAUGGCGUCGCUGGUACCAGUGACAGGGAGGUGACAGGGCAGUGACAGGGUGACAGGGUGGUGACAGUGACAGGGCAGUGACAGGGGAGGUGACAGCGCGGCGGCCCGUGUCACCGUACCACGAUGGCGUCGCUGGUACCAGUGACAGGGCAGGUGACAGGGGAGGUGACAGGAGAGGUGACAGCGCGGCGGCCCGUGUCACCGUACCACGAUGGCGUCGCUGGCGCCGGUGGCAGGGAGGUGACAGGGCGGUGACAGGGGAGGUGACAGGGGAGGUGACAGGGUGACAGGGUGGUGACAGGGGAGGUGACAGGGGAGGUGACAGCGCGGCGGCC